Molecule: ribosomal RNA, 650 nt
Filed under: Micrococcus sp. AD12
Lineage: Bacteria; Bacillati; Actinomycetota; Actinomycetes; Micrococcales; Micrococcaceae
Description: bacterial SSU rRNA
Rfam family: Bacterial small subunit ribosomal RNA
Source: RNAcentral
GGUAGUCCAUGCCGUAAACGUUGGGCACUAGGUGUGGGGACCAUUCCACGGUUUCCGCGCCGCAGCUAACGCAUUAAGUGCCCCGCCUGGGGAGUACGGCCGCAAGGCUCAAACUCAAAGGAAUUGACGGGGCCCCGCACAAGCGGCGGAGCAUGCGGAUUAAUUCGAUGCAACGCGAAGAACCUUACCAAGGCUUGACAUGUUCUCGAUCGCCGUAGAGAUACGGUUUCCCCUUUGGGGCGGGUUCACAGGUGGUGCAUGGUUGUCGUCAGCUCGUGUCGCGAGAUGUUGGGUUAAGUCCCGCAACGAGCGCAACCCUCGUUCCAUGUUGCCAGCACGUAAUGGUGGGGACUCAUGGGAGACUGCCGGGGUCAACUCGGAGGAAGGUGAGGACGACGUCAAAUCAUCAUGCCCCUUAUGUCUUGGGCUUCACGCAUGCUACAAUGGCCGGUACAAUGGGUUGCGAUACUGUGAGGUGGAGCUAAUCCCAAAAAGCCGGUCUCAGUUCGGAUUGGGGUCUGCAACUCGACCCCAUGAAGUCGGAGUCGCUAGUAAUCGCAGAUCAGCAACGCCGCGGUGAAUACGUUCCCGGGCCUUGUACACACCGCCCGUCAAGUCACGAAAGUUGGUAACACCCGAAGCCGGUGGCC